GCAAGUUUUCUGGAUCUAAACAACAACAUGAUUAAAGCGAUUGGAUGCAAACUUUAUCAGUAGAGCUUAAUUGUGUUAUAUGCUGAAAAUUAAGUAUGAAUGCGUUUGCUAGAGGGGAAUGAAAUUUCCACAUCACCUGUGAUCUAAAAGCAGUUUCCAGAUGAAGUUGGCUGACUAGAGGUUGUGGUGAUUUGAAACUCUAGUUAAAUUCACAUCUGUCCUAAUUGUUCUUUAGAACAGCAGUGGCUCUGGCAGCAGCAGGUCAUGUGAAAGGCUGAAGAUCGGCUCACAAUUCAGCUAACAUUUAAUUAGCAUUCACAUCAAAGCAUGCUAAAGAAAAGGUGAAAUAACACUGUAAUCAUAAUUGGUAGUCUCAUACCAGCCCAUGCCUAGUUACCAACACUGCAGUGAUUAUCGGUGCUUUGGAGACACACUGGUAUUUUUCAUCUUUGUGUCCUGAAAUGAUUUCCUCCUCAGGCUCUUUCCCCAAAACCAAACCUCCUCCGCUCCUGUCUUUGCAUCGGACUCCCCCUGGGAUGUCUUUAGGACCCCUGGGUUCCCGGGUCCCCCCGUCCUCUCUGGAUCUGUACGGACCUCCAGGUUUGUCCCGAGGGCCGCUGCUCCACCACGCUCCUCCGCUCUACCCGGGCCUCCGGUCCAGGCCCAGGGCGGCCCCUCCGUCCUUGAAGGGUUCUCGUCCUCCUCUUCUGUCAACACCAGUUGGUCCCCAUCUGCGACUGGGUGGACCAAGACACUGAAGGCCGACACUGUAACACACAAAGCGUUUUAGUAUUUCAGAUGACUUCAGAGCAGAAAGUUUCCAGUGGAAUCCCCUGUUGGUGUUUCUUAUUAAAAUAAUACAUAAAGUAAUACAUAUUUUCAUGUUUUGAUGCCUUUUUCUUUUUGUUGUUUCCGGCUUUUAACCUGAUUUGCAGCAAGAGGUUAAAACUUGCUCUUGCUGCAAAUAGUCCAGCUUUAUUUGCAAUUAUCUGCCUUUUUUUUUUCCUGAUGAAGUUUCAUAUUUAAGGAGGAAAUGUAACUUUUUCUUUGUGGUGGUAACAUCAGCAACACAAAGUACAAAAGUUUAAACAUGAUUCAGCAGAAAAAAAAGAAAAAACAAGUUAUGAUUUAUUGUGUAGGAUUUAAUUUUUGAUAUGCUGCAUAUUUUUGUUGUUUAUAAAAUUCAGUUAAAUAUGUAAAUGUUCAUCACUAAGCAGGCCAUCAGUUUCUUUCUGCAUUGGACAGAGAUUUUAGAUCCCAUGGACUCAAACGCACCAAACUCUGCAGACAUUAAAUAUAACUGUUAAGCGUAUUUCUUUCUGACAGGCCUGUUUGUUCUGUAUUUCUGAUGGUAAUUAAAUCUUGUCAUUUUUUUCUUUUAAAUGUGA
This is a long non-coding RNA of Poecilia latipinna (sailfin molly), 1388 nucleotides long. RefSeq lists it as uncharacterized. Lineage: Eukaryota; Metazoa; Chordata; Actinopteri; Cyprinodontiformes; Poeciliidae. The transcript is spliced from 2 exons. The record is from RefSeq and is a predicted model, not a curated record.